UGGGGAAUAUUGCGCAAUGGGCGAAAGCCUGACGCAGCGACGCCGCGUGGGGGAUGACGGCCUUCGGGUUGUAAACCUCUUUCGCCAGGGACGAAGCGUGAGUGACGGUACCUGGAUAAGAAGCACCGGCCAACUACGUGCCAGCAGCCGCGGUAACACGUAGGGUGCGAGCGUUGUCCGGAAUUAUUGGGCGUAAAGAGCUCGUAGGCGGUCUGUCGCGUCGGUCGUGAAAACUUGGGGCUUAACCCCUGAGCUUGCGGUCGAUACGGGCAUGACUGGAGUUCGGCAGGGGAGACUGGAAUUCCUGGUGUAGCGGUGAAAUGCGCAGAUAUCAGGAGGAACACCGGUGGCGAAGGCGGGUCUCUGGGCCGAUACUGACGCUGAGGAGCGAAAGCGUGGGGAGCGAACAGGAUUAGAUACCCUGGUAGUCCACGCCGUAAACGGUGGGCGCUAGGUGUGGGGGCCCAUUCCACGGUCUCUGUGCCGCAGCUAACGCAUUAAGCGCCCCGCCUGGGGAGUACGGCCGCAAGGCU
RNAcentral lists this ribosomal RNA (533 nucleotides) under uncultured bacterium. RNAcentral's name for it is "partial 16S ribosomal RNA". It matches the Rfam family "Bacterial small subunit ribosomal RNA", at positions 355 to 895 of the family's 1533-position model. The record is from RNAcentral.